UACGUAGGUGGCAAGCGUUGUCCGGAUUUAUUGGGCGUAAAGGGCGCGUAGGCGGUCAGCACAAGUCAGUUGUGAAAUCUCCGGGCUUAACUCGGAAAGGUCAACUGAUACUGUGCGACUAGAGUGCAGAAGGGGCAACUGGAAUUCUCGGUGUAGCGGUGAAAUGCGUAGAUAUCGAGAGGAACACCUGCGGCGAAGGCGAUCUUCUGGACGGAUACUGACGCUGAGGCGCGAAAGCUAGGGGAGCAAACGGG
Molecule: ribosomal RNA, 254 nt
Filed under: uncultured bacterium
Lineage: Bacteria
Description: partial 16S ribosomal RNA
Rfam family: Bacterial small subunit ribosomal RNA
Source: RNAcentral